Molecule: long non-coding RNA, 1998 nt
Filed under: Nicotiana tabacum (common tobacco)
Lineage: Eukaryota; Viridiplantae; Streptophyta; Magnoliopsida; Solanales; Solanaceae
Description: long non-coding RNA (NTAB_LNC017183)
Source: RNAcentral
AAAAGGAAGACGAAGGAGAUAGAAAAAUGGAGGAUUUUUUGUUUUUAUUUAUUAGUAUAAACUAGAUGAGUGUUGCCCGUGCAUAGCACAUGCCCAACAAUUUAAAUUAUAAUCGCGUAUUUGCCAAUGAUUACAACUCCAAAUAGCAAUAAAUAGUUAAGGAUAACCAUAUUUCACAAACACAGAAGAACAGUUUCGUCUAUGGUCAAUAGUGACAGAAACAUAAAGCUAUAUAUUACCUCCCGAGGGGCCGGCCAACGUGUGUAAAACUGGGCAAAUAUUUUUAUUUUGCUGUACUUUUGUAUUAAUUAUUAACAAAAUUAAACCUAAGUAUAUGACUAAUUUCUCAUCUCCUACCAUUAUUCUAUACCACAUGAUCAAUAAGAUGUAUCAUGUUUAUGAGUGCUUACACCAUAUACGAAUAACAGAAAUCACAUAGCCCAUUAAAAGCCAUAAACAAUAUUACAAAUAUUUGUGCAUUACUGGAAGCCCGAAAACAUCACUAUUUUGUAUUUGUCCUGGACUAUAUCAAAAGAGCUUCUUGCUCCUGUUCCUAAAAGAGAAUGAGAUAUUAAACAUUUUUUGUACAGAAAGUACUAAUUAAUACAAGUCCAGCACCAAGAAUUUGAAAAACACAAUGAUAUAAAGAUAAGCUAGAGAGAGAGAGGGGAAGGGAGAGAGACCCCAGGGAGAACAAACUACUCUAGAGCUAUACCCAAGUGUCAAGUUACACUCAUUUAGAGAAGAUCGAACAACGUCAUUAAAGGCGAAAAUGUUAUUACUAUAAUCUAAGGAUGCAUCAUCAAUCUAAUUUUUUCUUAAAAGAGUGUGGGAUCCCUGUAUCCUUAAGAUUAAACCGGCCAAUAAUAAAAAAAAAUAUAGAAGAGCUAAUUCUUAUUUUUUUUUGAUAAGCUAAACUCUGACAACUAUAUGAAUAUGCCAAAAUUUAAUGCAAAUAAUCUCCAAAAAAAUGGGACGAUACAUUUCAGUUACCCUCAAAUAAAAGAAAGAAAUAAGCCCAAUCAUAUGAGUAUGAAAUGACUAAAAGGUCCAUUAGUUAUAGAGAACAUACAUAGUUAUGAAGUAGAUACAUUGAUAGAAUUUCUAUCACCACUAUAAAUAUAAAAUAUGGACUUAUACUGAAAUAUUCUUAUAUCAUCUCAACAUUAUCUACUGUAGGUGCUGGUAAAUAAACUUUCCUUUAAUUACUUAUCACAAAAAGGAGGGCAAAAUAAGAACAAAAGAUCCUACUUUUUUCCACUUCAUAACACUACAAGUACCAAACUGAAGUUUCAUAAACCAGAUAUUCAAAGAAACCAAAUAGUUAUUUGUUCAGAGUACAAAUUCUUCAAGACACUAUUGUCACAUAGCACAUUCCUUAAAUCUAGAUAUGUUCAGGGAGUUGUUAUUGCUCAUACUAAUAUACAUACCUCACUGAUCGGAUUCCUUUAAACUUCUCUUUGGUGAAUAAUCAGUCCAUACCAAAAGUCAAAUAAUGAAAAACGAUUUAGAUUUCAACUAAUAUUGGAUAAAAUCUAAUCAAACAAAAAAUGUUCUUCAUGAUAUAGCCAGCUUAAAAUGGUGCUUAAUCUUGAAACUUUGAUUAGAAGUUAAUCAAUAUAAAAUUUGAAUGCUUGAUAAACCAAGUAACAUUAAUGACUAUUCUGUGUUAUUAUGUCUACAAGAGCACCAUAUGUAUGAAAUGCACCGGUUUAGCUGUGUUUUUUCUUUCUCAAAUUUUUAAUUUGUUCUUGUUAUCAAUUUGCAAUACUUUUUUCCUGAUAAGUGCAUCAAUUUGUAACACAUUAAUUCAAUUUACUAUUAUUUAUGAACAAAGAAAAGAACACAGUUAAACCAUGUCAAAGUUAUCAAAUACAUUCCACAAUAAUCGUGCUAAACCAUCCUUUUUUGUUUGUCCUCGAUCUUAGUAUAUAAACUUGAAGAACAAAAUAUGUCAUGACAAUAGUACAAUAUGCUAUAGAGUUAUUGUGUUGUAGU